UUGUGGGUUAAGAUCAGGAGAUCAGUCAGCAGUUACUGUCACAGGCAAAACAGACUCAACUUGGUGAAAUUAGCUUAAUUUACUACCAGUCAAAUCAGAGGUAGGAUAAUAAGAAAUUAAAAAAUAAAU
This is a long non-coding RNA of Strigops habroptila (Kakapo), 129 nucleotides long. RefSeq lists it as uncharacterized. The transcript has 3 exons. The record is from RefSeq and is a predicted model, not a curated record. Lineage: Eukaryota; Metazoa; Chordata; Aves; Psittaciformes; Psittacidae.